UACGUAUGGAGCAAGCGUUAUCCGGAUUUACUGGGUGUAAAGGGAGCGUAGGCGGUGGUGCAAGUCUGAUGUGAAAACCCGGGGCUCAACCCCGGGACUGCAUUGGAAACUGUGUCACUGGAGUGUCGGAGGGGUAAGUGGAAUUCCUAGUGUAGCGGUGAAAUGCGUAGAUAUUAGGAGGAACACCAGUGGCGAAGGCGGCUUACUGGACGACAACUGACGCUGAGGCUCGAAAGCGUGGGGAGCAA
Molecule: ribosomal RNA, 248 nt
Filed under: uncultured Roseburia sp.
Lineage: Bacteria; Bacillati; Bacillota; Clostridia; Lachnospirales; Lachnospiraceae
Description: partial 16S ribosomal RNA
Rfam family: Bacterial small subunit ribosomal RNA
Source: RNAcentral